AUCACCAGGGGCAUUUGGGUUCUAAACAAGAGGAUGAUAAAGUCUGCUUGAUUCCUUCUUAAUUUUAAAAGGAAAAAAAUGUGAUGUGGAAAGAGAGGAUGAUGAAGGAAGACAAGAUUUGAUAUUUGAACAAUCUACAAGUUUGCUUCAUGGUUGUCACAGGCUAGUGUACAUUAGUUCAGAGGAUUCCAAAUGAUGAAACGACACAGAAAACAUAAAGGACAAAUAGACAUAAUCACUAAGACAAGAAAUGCAAAAACGUGCCUUAGUGUCCAAGUGAUUGCUCUAAGGCUGGGCACCAGUGAUUGAUCUUGACAGGUGGCUUCAUGCAUCCCAGGGCUGAGUGGGCUGUGUGCGUCCCAGGUGCUUGGGACAGAAGCUGGGAACAACGGCUCAUACUUGGUUUGCUUUAAGGAAUGCAACUCUAGAUGAUGCUUCUAUAUUUUUGGACUCUUUUCCAUCUUGAUGACAAAUUUUAAACUGAGAUGUAUCAUUUUACACUUGUUCAGGAAAAAUAAAAUUACCUAACUAAAUUCAUUUACCAGACAUAUCAAUGUGCUUUUAAAAUGAUGUGAAAACUGAUGGUGACAUACAAAUAUUUGACAGGCCAUUGCUAGUACUGAUCAGGGAUGAAUGGAUCGCAGGCCAGAAAAACAGUCCAGAUAUUCAUCAUUGUCCUUCCUUAUAUGGUUCAACUGAUGUUUUGAAAACAUCACACUCACAGAAUCUCUUGCACAGCACACACAGAUUCUAAUUCUGUAUUCACACUAAAGUUCUGUCUACUAUUUACAUUAUGGCGUUUUUAUGAUGGUGGUAUUUGUUACUACUCUCACCAUUUUUCAAUAAGCCAUUUUUGUGAACUAGGAAUAAGAGUAGCAACUGUAAAAUGAAAAUUUAACAAACAUCAAAAUUAAUAGGAAAGUACAUUAGUGAAGACAAACACCCUGUUGACUUCAUGUUCGCUGAGGUAAACUGACCAACACAGUCCUUGUCGUGUACAUAUGCACCUAAUGACUGUACCUUAAGGACAUAACACUGUUAAAAAGUUGAGAUUUUAAUGAAAACCCUAUCUUACAUUUAAAAUCUACAAAAUAUGUGAACAAUGUGCAUGAAAUUUGCAAAAUAUAUAAGGAAAAAAUGUUUCAGUGUGUUUUUUUCCCCUCUGGAACUGCAAAACUACCAAAUUCGCCAUUCUUUGAGUGACCUUGCUCAAAUGCAAAAGCCAGGAUUUUACCUACAGCUCAGAUCAAGUGCCAAAAGAUGACAAUGGUUCAAGCAGUAAGAAGGGCAUCAAUGAGAGUCACAGAGAAGCACUUUCCAACAAAAUAAACCCUUUAUUAAACAGGAAAUAUUAUUUUAUACAAGUUAAAGUGAAAAUAGUAAUAAGAAAGUACAAGCUACUUUAGGUAGCAAGUGUUGUCCAUUAAAACACCUGGUACGUAGUAAGCAGUCAAGAAAUGUUUACCAAAUUGAAAGAAGACAUUUAAGAGAAAACACAGAUACACUAUUUAAAAUCCACUUUUUUCUCAGUCCUGAAGUCUUGUUCUAGCAUAAGGUUGCUCUCAGAAUUAAAAUUACGGCUUUCUCUGAGAUUUGUCUUGCUGUCUAGGAGUCUAUUGUUGUUCAAUGGUUUUACGAUUGUUCUAUUACUAGUUCCCCCACUAAAGUCCCUGAGA
This is a non-coding RNA of Equus caballus (horse), 1676 nucleotides long. The record is from RefSeq and is a predicted model, not a curated record. Lineage: Eukaryota; Metazoa; Chordata; Mammalia; Perissodactyla; Equidae.